RNAcentral lists this ribosomal RNA (835 nucleotides) under uncultured bacterium. RNAcentral's name for it is "bacterial SSU rRNA". It matches the Rfam family "Bacterial small subunit ribosomal RNA", at positions 18 to 862 of the family's 1533-position model. The record is from RNAcentral.
CCUGGCUCAGGAUGAACGCUGGCGGCGUGCUUAACACAUGCAAGUCGAACGGUGAAAGAGGAGCUUGCUCCUCUGGAUCAGUGGCGAACGGGUGAGUAACACGUGAGUAACCUGCCCUUGACUCUGGGAUAAGCGUUGGAAACGACGUCUAAUACCGGAUAUGACCUUCGGAGGCAUCUCCUGAAGGUGGAAAGAAUUUCGGUCAAGGAUGGACUCGCGGCCUAUCAGCUAGUUGGUGAGGUAAUGGCCCACCAAGGCGACGACGGGUAGCCGGCCUGAGAGGGUGACCGGCCACACUGGGACUGAGACACGGCCCAGACUCCUACGGGAGGCAGCAGUGGGGAAUAUUGCACAAUGGGCGCAAGCCUGAUGCAGCAACGCCGCGUGAGGGACGACGGCCUUCGGGUUGUAAACCUCUUUUAGUAGGGAAGAAGCGAAAGUGACGGUACCUGCAGAAAAAGCACCGGCUAACUACGUGCCAGCAGCCGCGGUAAUACGUAGGGUGCAAGCGUUAUCCGGAAUUAUUGGGCGUAAAGAGCUCGUAGGCGGUUUGUCGCGUCUGCUGUGAAAACUGGGGGCUCAACCCCCAGCCUGCAGUGGGUACGGGCAGACUAGAGUGCGGUAGGGGAGAUUGGAAUUCCUGGUGUAGCGGUGGAAUGCGCAGAUAUCAGGAGGAACACCGAUGGCGAAGGCAGAUCUCUGGGCCGUAACUGACGCUGAGGAGCGAAAGCAUGGGGAGCGAACAGGAUUAGAUACCCUGGUAGUCCAUGCCGUAAACGUUGGGAACUAGAUGUAGGGACCAUUCCACGGUUUCUGUGUCGCAGCUAACGCAUUA